CCUACGGGAGGCAGCAGUGGGGAAUAUUGCACAAUGGGGGAAACUCUGAUGCAGCGACGCCGCGUGAGUGAAGAAGUAAUUCGUUAUGUAAAGCUCUAUCUGUAGGGAAGUAAAUGACGGUACCUGAGUAAGAAGCCCCGGCUAACUACGUGCCAGCAGCGGCGGCAAUACGUAGGGGGCAAGCGUUAUCCGGAUUUACUGGGUGUAAAGGGAGCGUAGACGGGAGUGCAAGUCUGGAGUGAAAGGCGGGGGCUCAACCCCCGGACUGCCCUGGAAACUGUACGGCUGGAGUGCAGGAGAGGUAAGUGGAAUUCCUGGUGUAGCGGUGAAAUGCGUAGAUAUUAGGAGGAACACCAGUGGCGAAGGCGGCUUACUGGACUGUAACUGACGUUGAGGCUCGAAAGCGUGGGGAGCAAACAGGAUUAGAUACCCCUGUAGUC
Molecule: ribosomal RNA, 440 nt
Filed under: uncultured bacterium
Lineage: Bacteria
Description: partial 16S ribosomal RNA
Rfam family: Bacterial small subunit ribosomal RNA
Source: RNAcentral